GACGGAGGGCGCGGGCGUUAUUCGUUUUGAUUGGGUGUAAAGGGUACGUAGGCUGCUUCUUGUUUUUUGGCAAAAAGUGCGGAGUGUUCCUACGCAGUUGCCUUUUAUAAUAGGAGCUUGUGUCGAGGAGAGGUUGGGGCAAGUUCUCAAGUAGGGGUAAAAUCCUACGAUAUGAGAACGAACGUCAGUUGGCGAAGGCGCCUUUCUAGUCUCGACAGACGCUAAGGUACGGAAGCUUAGGGCGCAAACGGG
This 252-nucleotide ribosomal RNA is filed under the name uncultured bacterium. RNAcentral's name for it is "partial 16S ribosomal RNA". It matches the Rfam family "Bacterial small subunit ribosomal RNA", at positions 524 to 776 of the family's 1533-position model. The record is from RNAcentral.